This 588-nucleotide ribosomal RNA is filed under the name Ocalea vancouveri. Its description in RNAcentral is "partial 16S ribosomal RNA". The stretch from base 342 to 501 matches the Rfam family "Bacterial large subunit ribosomal RNA", at positions 2473 to 2632 of the family's 2925-position model. The record is from RNAcentral. Lineage: Eukaryota; Metazoa; Arthropoda; Insecta; Coleoptera; Staphylinidae.
UUAAAUGGCCGCAGUAUUUUGACUGUGCAAAGGUAGCAUAAUCAUUAGUUUCCUAAUUAGAAGCUGGAAUGAAAGGUUGAACGAAAAAAUAACUGUCUCUUUAUAAAUUUAUUAGAAUUUUAUAUUUAAGUUAAAAAGCUUAAAUACUUUUAAAAGACGAGAAGACCCUAUAGAGUUUUAUAUAAUUUUUUAUAAUUUGUUUAUUUUUAAUUAUAAAAAUUUUAUUAAUAAUUAUAUUUAAUUGGGGUGAUUAAAAAAUUUAAUAAACUUUUUUUUUAUAAAACAUUUAUAUAUGAUUAAUUGAUCCAUUAUUAAUGAUUAAAAGAUUAAAUUACCUUAGGGAUAACAGCGUAAUUUCUUUUUAGAGUUCUAAUCGAUAAAGAAGUUUGCGACCUCGAUGUUGGAUUAAAAUAAAAUUUUGGUGUAGAAGCUAAAAUUUUUAGGUCUGUUCGACCUUUAAAAUUUUACAUGAUCUGAGUUUAAACCGGUGUAAGCCAGGUUGGUUUCUAUCUUUAAAUAAUUAAAAUAUUUUAGUACGAAAGGACCAAAUAUUUAAAAUAUUUUUUAAAUAUUGAAUAAUAAUAAUUU